CGAUAGGUCAUCACUUCUGGAAUGGGUAAUGACUUAAAUCUAUAUGGCCCCUGGAUUGGACUGCGGCCGAUCAGGCUGUUGGUGAGGUAAUGGCCCACCAAACCUGUAACCGGUACGGGCUCUGAGAGGAGGAGCCCGGAGAUGGGCACUGAGACAAGGGCCCAGGCCCUAUGGGGCGCAGCAGGCGCGAAACCUCUGCAAUAGGCGAAAGCUUGACAGGGUUACUCUGAGUGAUUUCCGUUAAGGAGAUCUUUUGGCACCUCUAAAAAUGGUGCAGAAUAAGGGGUGGGCAAGUCUGGUGUCAGCCGCCGCGGUAAUACCAGCACCCCGAGUGGUCGGGACGUUUAUUGGGCCUAAAGCAUCCGUAGCCGGUUCUACAAGUCUUCCGUUAAAAACACAUGCUUAACAGAUGGGCUGCGGAAGAUACUAUAGAGCUAGGAGGCGGGAGAGGCAAGCGGUACUCGAUGGGUAGGGGUAAAAUCCGUUGAUCCAUUGAAGACCACCAGUGGCGAAGGCGGCUUGCCAGAACGCGCUCGACGGUGAGGGAUGAAAGCUGGGGGAGCAAACCGGAUUAGAUACCCGGGUAGUCCCGGCUGUAAACGAUGCAGCCUCCUGUCAUGGGUUGGCUUAUUGCUAAUUCAGUGCCGCAGGGAAGCCGUUAAGUUUGCCGCCUUGGGUACGGUCGCAAGACUGAAACUUAAAUGGAGAUCCAGGGAGCUCACAAGGGGUGAAACCGUGCGGUUCAAUUGGAUUCAACACCGGA
Molecule: ribosomal RNA, 763 nt
Filed under: uncultured archaeon
Lineage: Archaea
Description: bacterial SSU rRNA
Rfam family: Archaeal small subunit ribosomal RNA
Source: RNAcentral